RNAcentral lists this ribosomal RNA (407 nucleotides) under uncultured bacterium. RNAcentral's name for it is "partial 16S ribosomal RNA". It matches the Rfam family "Bacterial small subunit ribosomal RNA", at positions 28 to 526 of the family's 1533-position model. The record is from RNAcentral.
GACGAACGCUGGCGGCGUGCCUAAUACAUGCAAGUAGGACGCAGUUGCGAACGGGUUAGUAACGCGUAGGUAACUACCUAUUAGUGGGGGAUGACUAUUGUAAACGAUAGCUAAUACCGCAUACUAAUAGAUGGACCUGCGUUGUAUUAGCUAGUAGGUAGGGUAAUGGCCUACCUAGGCAACGAUACAUAGCCGAACGGGGAGGAGGAUCGGCCACCCGGGGACUGAGACACGGCCCAGACGCCUACUGGAGGCAGCAGUAGGGAAUCGUCGGCAAUGGGGGGAAACCUGAGCGAGAAACGCCGCGUGAGUGAAGAAGGUUUUCGGAUCGUAAAGCUCUGUUGUCAAGGAAGCGGUACUUAAACAGAAAGGGACGGCUAACUACGUGCCAGCAGCCGCGGUAAUUC